This 325-nucleotide ribosomal RNA is filed under the name Phyllocaulis gayi. RNAcentral describes it as "eukaryotic LSU rRNA". It matches the Rfam family "Eukaryotic large subunit ribosomal RNA", at positions 1 to 313 of the family's 3401-position model. The record is from RNAcentral. Lineage: Eukaryota; Metazoa; Mollusca; Gastropoda; Systellommatophora; Veronicellidae.
CAUCUCCGACCUCAGAUCGGACGAGAUUACCCGCUGAAUUUAAGCAUAUAACUAAGCGGAGGAAAAGAAACUAACAAGGAUUUCCCCAGUAACGGCGAGUGAAGCGGAAAUAGCCCAGCACCGAAUCCCUCAGUGUCACGCUGACGGGAACUGUGGUGUGUGGGACGCCACCAGUCGCAUCAGUGGGCACCGAAGUCCUCCUGAUCGAGGCUUCACCCAGAGCGGGUGUAAGGCCUUUGCAGGUGCCCUACUGUGCGGCCGCGAGCGUCUCAGGAGUCGGGUUGUUUGGGAAUGCAGCCCAAAGCGGGUGGUAAACUCCAUCUAA